This 409-nucleotide ribosomal RNA is filed under the name uncultured bacterium. RNAcentral describes it as "bacterial SSU rRNA". It matches the Rfam family "Bacterial small subunit ribosomal RNA", at positions 355 to 776 of the family's 1533-position model. The record is from RNAcentral.
UGGGGAAUAUUGCACAAUGGGCGCAAGCCUGAUGCAGCAACGCCGCGUGAGGGACGAAGGCCUUCGGGUUGUAAACCUCUUUUAGCAGGGAAGAAGCGAAAGUGACGGUACCUGCAGAAAAAGCACCGGCUAACUACGUGCCAGCAGCCGCGGUAAUACGUAGGGUGCAAGCGUUGUCCGGAAUUAUUGGGCGUAAAGAGCUCGUAGGCGGUUUGUCGCGUCUGCUGUGAAAAUCCGAGGCUCAACCUCGGACCUGCAGUGGGUACGGGCAAGCUAGAGUGCGGUAGGGGAGAUCGGAAUUCCUGGUGUAGCGGUGGAAUGCGCAGAUAUCAGGAGGAACACCAAUGGCGAAGGCAGAUCUCUGGGCCGUAACUGACGCUGAGGAGCGAAAGCGUGGGGAGCGAACAGG